AUGCACGCUGGCGGCGUGCCUAAUCCAUGCACGUCGAGCGAACAGACGAGGAGCUUGCUCUUCUGACGUUAGCGGCGGACGGGUGAGUAACACGUGGAUAACCUACCUAUAAGACUGGGAUAACUUCGGGAAACCGGAGCUAAUACCGGAUAAUAUAUUGAACCGCAUGGUUCAAUAGUGAAAGACGGUUUUGCUGUCACUUAUAGAUGGAUCCGCGCCGCAUUAGCUAGUUGGUAAGGUAACGGCUUACCAAGGCAAUGAUGCGUAGCCGACCUGAGAGGGUGAUCGGCCACACUGGAACUGAGACACGGUCCAGACUCCUACGGGAGGCAGCAGUAGGGAAUCUUCCGCAAUGGGCGAAAGCCUGACGGAGCAACGCCGCGUGAGUGAUGAAGGUCUUCGGAUCGUAAAACUCUGUUAUUAGGGAAGAACAAAUGUGUAAGUAACUAUGCACGUCUUGACGGUACCUAAUCAGAAAGCCACGGCUAACUACGUG
Molecule: ribosomal RNA, 496 nt
Filed under: uncultured bacterium
Lineage: Bacteria
Description: partial 16S ribosomal RNA
Rfam family: Bacterial small subunit ribosomal RNA
Source: RNAcentral